GAGGGUAUAGCUCAGUGGUAGAGUGCCUGCUUCGCAUGCAUGAGUUCCUGGGUUCAAUCCCCAGUACCUCCA
RNAcentral lists this transfer RNA (72 nucleotides) under Camelus bactrianus (Bactrian camel). It matches the Rfam family "tRNA". From Rfam's summary of the family: Transfer RNA (tRNA) molecules are approximately 80 nucleotides in length. The record is from Rfam by way of RNAcentral. RNAcentral also lists the same sequence under 2 other names. Lineage: Eukaryota; Metazoa; Chordata; Mammalia; Artiodactyla; Camelidae.